AAUGGGCUUAUGAUGAAACUCUAUCUAACAAAUGGGUAAUUUGCGUCUGAAUGCAUUAAUUUGCUUGAUGUUAAACACCUUGGAGAACUGAUGCCCCUU
Erigeron canadensis is the source of this 99-nucleotide small nucleolar RNA. The record is from RefSeq and is a predicted model, not a curated record. NCBI's taxonomy places the organism in Eukaryota, Viridiplantae, Streptophyta, Magnoliopsida, Asterales, Asteraceae.